Long non-coding RNA from Motacilla alba alba, 598 nucleotides. RefSeq lists it as uncharacterized. The transcript is spliced from 4 exons. Lineage: Eukaryota; Metazoa; Chordata; Aves; Passeriformes; Motacillidae. The record is from RefSeq and is a predicted model, not a curated record.
AGCUGGCUCCUGUUUAGUCUGAACAACUGGUUUUCCAAGGUCUAUAUCAUCCUGUGCUUGCUGACGUCUGUGCUUUCCCAGCAGCACACUAAAUGGAGUCAUAGGAAGACUUUCUUCUACUGCCAGCUUGAAAAAAUAUUACUUCUCCACAGAAAUACAUACUGGAAUGCAAUCCUGGAACAACUUCUCACUGCAUACAAUGGAGCAUUGUUGGGAUACUCUGCCAGGAAAACAUGGAUUUUUGAGCAGAGGUUACAGAGGAUGAAGAUACGUAUUUCAUAGUACAGGACUUUGAUUCACCUCUGGAUUAAUGGGGGACAAGAGAAGUGCUCCAUGAGCACACGACUUGUGUGCUCCAUGAUACAGAUUUAAGGAUGGGAGGUACAAGAGACUUAAGCAAGCAAGAAGGAACUGCAAUGCUCAAUCUUAUUUUUAACCAACACCUAAAAGCCAUUUUAGUCUUUUCUAUAUAUGAAUCUAAGACUGGUAAGUUCAAUGUUUAUGUGUAUAUGUUUAUGAACAUAUAGAAGGUCUUGGACUGCUAUGAAUUAAUUCUUUCUUUUCUGAGAGCUCAAAUGAGACAUAAAAGAGCAGAUGA